UUUAAUUAUUUAUACAAAUUCUUGAAAGUAAACCCCUCAGAAAAAGUUAUCCUAAUAUUUUAAAAUUGUUUACUGCAGACUCUGAGCCAUAACAUUCAGCAAGAAUACAUAGAAGUUGUAGAGAGCUGUGUGUUUACAGGUUUUGAAUAGUGAAUAUGUCUAACAACUCAACUGUUCCCAGUAAUGAUAUCUGAUGUAAACUUUUUGAUAUUUUUGGGUGUUUUGUUACUUCGUGACAAUGGUAGUUACUCUCAACUAGCAGAUAAAGAAGAAAGGACUUAAAACUCUGCUUUUCUCAUUUUAAAUUUAUUAAUUCGGUAUUAGUAUAGGGUCCAUGAUGAUCCGUUCCUGUGUGUAGAGGGUGGAUAGAUUGAUUGAAACUGGAGACAGUGAGCAUAUUUUUCAGAAAGCAAUCAUGUAGUAAGGAAGAGGUCAGGCUAUUCAGGUUUCGACAAUACGUGUGGUUCAAGUUAGUUUUUUCUGCCUUCGUGCAUGCAUGUAAUAAAUAUUGGAUACACUAGCUGAGGUUCAGGAAUGACAUGGCGCUUUCAGAGCCUUAGAGAAGAAACUCCUCGACAUUGUAGUUAUAAGAAAAAUGAUGAAUCUGAAGGUGUCAAACAAAAUGCUGAUUAAAGAAUGCAUUUGAGAUCAUUCAGGUGCUAUGGAUCGGAAGAGGUGGAAAAGCCUCAAAGCCAGACAAAAGGGGGACAAGGCAAAUGUCACGAGCGCGUUUCACCGAAAUUCACAAGUACUGCUAGACUGAGCCCUUUACUUUUUAAUUUAAGAGUAAAUAUAUCUGAAAUAUUCAGAAUUUAUAUUGAUCAAUUUCUUAAUUCCUACAUAUAUAUUCUCUGUUGCAGUUUUUUUUACCAUUUGAGAUUUUUCUUUGUUGGGAAUAGAUUUAACUUUAAGCUUAUGUUGUGCAGAUAUACUUAUGGCCUUAAUAUGCAGCAUUUUGUUUCCACCAAGAUGCGAGUCUAUAUUGGCAGUAGAGAUACCAGAAAGAGAGUCAUACAUUGGUAGUAGAGAGGAAUAAGAAAACGAGUUGGUGGACGCUAAAAGAGAUUGCCAUGUUGUACAUGAAGUCUAUUUUCAUGAAAUAUGGCAUAACAGGAGGGGUGUCCUUUGGAUUUGGGAUUUUGGAUGAGUACAUAGCAAAUGAGAAAGUAUGGCGUUUUUUCUUUGAAUAUUUUUUCGAAGAGCUCUUGAUCAAAUGGUGUGAACACUUAGCUUGAAUCUUUUGCCACCUAAAUAUGCCACGUAUGACCUUCUUUCUUUAAGUUUGUCAUGUAAGCUGUGUAACAAACACUAGCCAUAAGCCUAACUAAAUUUUUUCUAUAGGAAAAGGUAUUUUUAUAUUUUUUUCUAUAUUGUGUGGGUGGAAAGAAGUAAUUGGGUAUUUGUUUGAGUUUUUGUUUUUUCAAAACGCAGGAUUCUUUUUGAUCGAUAACAUUUUAUUUAAUGAACUUUUUACAUAAUUUAUGCAUUUAAUAAUUUGUGUUAUAAUAUGUUUGGUGGAAAUACUGAGGUGAAGAGAAAGAUCAAGAAAUCUGUUGGUGCCGUAUGUUUAACCAAAUCUUUCUCUUCCUUUGAACAUAAAAGAAUAUUGAGCAUAUUUCAUAAGAAUCUUUUUUUCUUAAGCUAUACCUAUGGGCUAUGGGGGUUUGAUGUAAUGGCUGCAGUGCGAAGACUGCAUUCAUCCAUCAUCUUCUUAAACUAAAUUGAUAUCAUUUGGUGCGACAGAAGCACCUUUUUAUUGGGCUUCUUUAGCAGUAGUAUAUUCUUCUAGCUUCAUACAAGCAGUGCUGCAACACUACAAUUGUUAUUGAUUAUAAAAUGACGUAUCAUCAUUGACAAUAAAAAUUUCAAACAUAUCACUAUUAAAAAUGACGGUUUCUCACAUCACCAUUAAUAAUGAUGGUUUUUGACAUAUACUCAGCGAUAAUUUUUGACAUAAUCGUUUUAAAUGAAGGUAGAUAUAUCAAUAAAGACAUUUUUAACAACCAUCAUUAUCCACAUAAUAAUAUAAUUAUUACUUUGAAUUUUUUUUAUGUGAGUUUUGAUAUUCGAAAACUAAAUAUUUAUAAAACUAAGAAUACUAAUUUUAUGUUUUAAAUUUUUGAGAGACAAAACUAAGAAUAUAUUUUCUGAAUAUUCAUUUCUAAAAUAAUAAAUUAUAAUCUAAUUUUUUAUCUCUAAAAGAAUGAAUAAACUAAACUGAUCAACAUCAUGUUAAUGUCAAAACUUUCUGCUUAUUCAAAUGAAGUCCAUCAACUGAACCAAGUAAAAUGCGAGAGAAACUAUCAUAUACCAUUUUUUGUCAAAGAGAAUUAUUAUUUAUGUGAAACAUUUAAUUUUUAUAAAAUUUAAAAGGAUAAAUAUACGGAAACAGACCUAGUUAAAUUAAUGCUCGGCAAUCUCAUGAAAUGAGACUUUUUAAAAAUGGUUCAAGGUUGAUUUAUAUUGUGAUCCAACAUAACAACUUUUUUAAAAAAUAUUGUAAGAUAAACUCUUAAUCCAUAUUACUUGGACAACAAUUUAAAUAAAAAAUUUAUAUAUAAAUCGGAAAGUAAUGAUUUUUUUAAGUGUUUGUUUUUUUUAUUAAUACUAAAGAGACGCAUCUAUUCAAAAUUGUUUAAUUAAUAAAAGAAAAAAAAGAAGGAAUAUUGUUUGAUUUCCAUGCCUUCAUCGCAUAAACAAAUUUAUAUAAAGAUUAAUACGAAAAUUAAGUUGUUUUGUUAUUACCAAACGAACUUAUAUAUCAAAUAUUUUUCCUUGCAACACAAAUCUUUAGAACUUAAAUUAUUGAAUUUAUAUUGAAGAUUAAGAAAAAGUUUUGGCACCUGCCUAAUUGUUUUUCGUAGUCUAGGAAACAUUAAUAAUGACCUUUCGUAGUAGCUAAUUAUAUAUAUCACGUCAAACUAACUUUCAUUCUAUACAAAUUAUCGGUUGCAAACAAAUAAUACUACCAUCUUUCUAUAUGUGGGCCUUAAGUAUAAUAAUAGUCUUAUGUUGUCUUAAUGUGGCCCAUAACCAAACUAUACUUCAAAUUAUAAGCUUAAUCCAAUUCGUAAUUGUCUUUUUAAUAUUUUAAUUUUCCAUCUUAUGUAGUCGUAAAAAUUUGAUAUUCUGAAAAUUAGUGUAACUUCAAAAUCAAAAAUAUAUAAAUUUUAUUUACUGAUAAGUUAGUUAAAAAAAGCCAAAUGUAUCGGUCCAAUAAAUAGAUGAUUAUAAAAACAAU
Brassica napus (rape) is the source of this 3241-nucleotide long non-coding RNA. RefSeq lists it as uncharacterized. The record is from RefSeq and is a predicted model, not a curated record. The transcript is spliced from 3 exons. NCBI's taxonomy places the organism in Eukaryota, Viridiplantae, Streptophyta, Magnoliopsida, Brassicales, Brassicaceae.